Molecule: ribosomal RNA, 422 nt
Filed under: uncultured Actinomycetes bacterium
Lineage: Bacteria; Bacillati; Actinomycetota; Actinomycetes
Description: bacterial SSU rRNA
Rfam family: Bacterial small subunit ribosomal RNA
Source: RNAcentral
GAGUUUGAUCUUGGCUCAGGACGAACGCUGGCGGCGCGCCUAACACAUGCAAGUCGAACGAGAACCUCGGGCUUCGGCCUGGGGGGAGAGUGGCGAACGGGUGAGUAACACGUGAGGAACCUGCCCCGGAGACCGGGAUAACUCGAGGAAACUCGGGCUAAUACCGGAUGUCCUCAUCGGACCGCAUGAUCUGAUGAGGAAAUGGAUUCCGCUCCGGGAUGGCCUCGCGGCCUAUCAGCUUGUUGGUGAGGUAACGGCUCACCAAGGCAACGACGGGUAGCUGGUCUGAGAGGACGAUCAGCCACACUGGGACUGAGACACGGCCCAGACUCCUACGGGAGGCAGCAGUGGGGAAUCUUGCGCAAUGGGGGAAACCCUGACGCAGCGACGCCGCGUGCGGGACGAAGGCCUUCGGGUUGUAA